Molecule: long non-coding RNA, 103 nt
Organism: Octopus sinensis (East Asian common octopus)
Lineage: Eukaryota; Metazoa; Mollusca; Cephalopoda; Octopoda; Octopodidae
Exons: 3
Source: RefSeq, a predicted model, not a curated record
AUAAGUCAAGUAUUCUUGUGUUCUUUCCUUAUCACAAGCUAAACCAUCUGAGCCAUCAAACAGAAAGCCCAGUGCUCUCAAACUGGUGGUGUAGUUUCAAUUG